Molecule: ribosomal RNA, 474 nt
Filed under: Trypanosoma brucei brucei
Lineage: Eukaryota; Euglenozoa; Kinetoplastea; Trypanosomatida; Trypanosomatidae
Description: 9S rRNA from Trypanosoma brucei brucei (PDB 6SGA, chain CA)
Rfam family: Trypanosomatid mitochondrial small subunit ribosomal RNA
Source: RNAcentral
UAAAUUAUGGUCAAUUGUUAGUAUUCAUAUUAAUUUUUUUAAAUGUUUUAUCAUUUUAUAAAGGUUUAUUUUUGAAAGAUUUUUUGUAUAAAAUUUUAGGAAUAGUUAAUAAUAAUUUAUAAUUUUGAUUAGAUUGUUUUGUUAAUGCUAUUAGAUGGGUGUGGAAAAAUAAAAAAAAUAAUUAAUAUAUAUCAAUAAUAAAUUAAAUUAAUCUAUUAGUCAGAAAUGGAUGCCAGCCGUUGCGGUAAUUUCUAUGCUUUUAAAUAUUAUACAAUUAUCAUAUUAAAUUGUUAAGUGCUGAUUUAACCAAUAAAAAUAUAAAUAAUUUUUAUUUGUUUUUAAACACCAUUAGGUAUAUGCAAAUAUAAAAUUAUAGUAAUUAUAGAAAUUAAAAAGGUAUUGUUGCCCACCAAUUUUUAUAAUAAAAAUAACGUGCAGUAAUUAAUAUAUUUAUAAAAAUAUAUUUUUUUUUUU